AUAAAUAUCACAAGAUUAGAAAUUGAUAGUCUACUGAAUGUAACAAUAAACUAUUGACACAUAAUAAUUUUGAUAUAACUUCAUCUUCUUCCCUAUUCUCCUUCAUCAUCUUCAUCUUCUUCAAUAAACUAUUGACACAUAAUAAUUUUGAUAUAACUUCAUCUUCUUCCCUAUUCUCCUUCAUCAUCUUCAUCUUCUUCUUUCUUUACCUUCAUCAUC
This 219-nucleotide long non-coding RNA is filed under the name Lathyrus oleraceus (garden pea). Its description in RNAcentral is "Pisum sativum (pea) long non-coding RNA (PSAT_LNC010207)". The record is from RNAcentral. Lineage: Eukaryota; Viridiplantae; Streptophyta; Magnoliopsida; Fabales; Fabaceae.